Molecule: ribosomal RNA, 253 nt
Filed under: uncultured bacterium
Lineage: Bacteria
Description: partial 16S ribosomal RNA
Rfam family: Bacterial small subunit ribosomal RNA
Source: RNAcentral
UACGAAGGGGGCUAGCGUUGUUCGGAAUUACUGGGCGUAAAGCGCGCGCAGGCGGCUAUCCAAGUCAGUGGUGAAAGCCCGGAGCUCAACUCCGGAACUGCCAUUGAAACUGUUUAGCUUGAGUACGAGAGAGGUGAGUGGAAUUCCCAGUGUAGAGGUGAAAUUCGUAGAUAUUGGGAAGAACACCAGUGGCGAAGGCGGCUCACUGGCUCGUAACUGACGCUCAGGCGCGACAGCGUGGGGAUCAAACAGG